GAGAUACAUCACCAACAAGUCAUCUAUCUUUUUAAUGAUGAAUAAAAUCUGCACCACUGACAAAACCAAUUAUGCAAAGUGAGACUUGUGUACCGAAUGUCAGAGAUAACCUUAUAGUCGCGUCACUAAAACUGGAAGGAGCAAGUCGGUACACAAAGAAACGAUUCUCGCUGGAGCCUUCUACGGGUUAGUGGAGUGCUGCACUUGUUUCAAACUGCCGAGAAAACUGCAAUUGAAUGGGAGAAAAACAAUAUGAAGUUUCAGAUAGAUAUUCAGAAGAGAGCAGAGUGCAAAGCUACUACAUGAAUACUGAUCCUAAUCUUGCAAGGAAAACUAUAUCGGACCUUCAAGUUCCCAACGU
RNAcentral lists this long non-coding RNA (361 nucleotides) under Oryza brachyantha (malo sina). Its description in RNAcentral is "long non-coding RNA (OBRA_LNC000021)". The record is from RNAcentral. Lineage: Eukaryota; Viridiplantae; Streptophyta; Magnoliopsida; Poales; Poaceae.